RNAcentral lists this ribosomal RNA (484 nucleotides) under uncultured bacterium. RNAcentral's name for it is "partial 16S ribosomal RNA". It matches the Rfam family "Bacterial small subunit ribosomal RNA", at positions 29 to 507 of the family's 1533-position model. The record is from RNAcentral.
AUUGAACGCUGGCGGCAUGCUUUACACAUGCAAGUCGAACAGCAGCGCGGGCUUCGGCCUGGCGGCGAGUGGCGAACGGGUGAGUAAUGCAUCGGAACGUGCCCAGUAGUGGGGGAUAGCCCGGCGAAAGCCGGAUUAAUACCGCAUACGACCUGAGGGUGAAAGCGGGGGACCGAAAGGCCUCGCGCUAUUGGAGCGGCCGAUGUCGGAUUAGCUAGUUGGUGGGGUAAAGGCUUACCAAGGCGACGAUCCGUAGCUGGUCUGAGAGGAAGACCAGCCACACUGGGACUGAGACACGGCCCAGACUCCUACGGGAGGCAGCAGUGGGGAAUUUUGGACAAUGGGGGCAACCCUGAUCCAGCCAUGCCGCGUGCGGGAAGAAGGCCUUCGGGUUGUAAACCGCUUUUGUUCGGGAAGAAAUCCUCUGGGCUAAUACCCCGGGGGGAUGACGGUACCGGAAGAAUAAGCACCGGCUAACUACGUG